GGUUUGAUCACGGAAUUGGAUGCAUCAGCCUACCAUGAGACAUACGGCCUCAAUCCCAAAACUCUCUCAUCAAUACAUUCUUGAUAUUCAUUAUCUCACAUAGUGAUCAAGAAUAAGAAACAAUAAUAAGAAUCAAGGUUAGAGCUAAACUAAACUCAAUGUUUUUUCUAAAAGGCAUUUCAUCCUUAUUCUCUUAUAAUACCAGAUGUUGUGUAUAUUAUGAUAUUAUCUUUCCUUUACGAGAUAUUACUCCAUCAAAAUUGUGGAAUCGUUUCCCCUACAUUGGGGUCGGGAGCAGAAGUAAGCAAAUGAGACCUUUUUAAGGGGCCAUCAGUCCUCCAAUUGUGUGAAAGAGAGACUCCGCCCAGUCUUCUUUGAAAAGC
RNAcentral lists this long non-coding RNA (383 nucleotides) under Nicotiana benthamiana. Its description in RNAcentral is "long non-coding RNA (NBEN_LNC037657)". Lineage: Eukaryota; Viridiplantae; Streptophyta; Magnoliopsida; Solanales; Solanaceae. The record is from RNAcentral.